GGGGGAUGGCGGUGGUUAUGCGGGGAUAUGGGGGAUAUGGGGGACUCUUUGGGUCCUUAUGGGGUCCCUACGAAUCCCUAUGGGUCCUUUUGGGGUCUCUGUGGGGUCCCUAUGGGUCCCUAUGGGUCCUUUUGGGGUCUCUAUGGCUCCUUAUGGGGUCCUUAUGGGGCCUCUAUGGGGUCCCUAUGGGUCUCUAUGGAUCCCUAUGGGUCCUUAUGGGGUCCCUAUGGGGUCCUUAUGGAUUCCUAUGGGUCCUUUUGGGGUCUCUAUGGCUCCUUAUGGGGCCUCUAUGGGGUCCCUAUGGUUCUCUAUGGAUCCUUAUGGGUCCUUUUGGGGUCUCUAUGGCUCCUUAUGGGGUCUCUAUGGGGUCUCUAUGGCUCCUUAUGGGGCCUCUAUGGGGUCCCCAUGGUUCUCUAUGGAUCCCUAUGGGUCCUUUUGGGGUCUCUAUGGCUCCUUAUGGGGUCCCUAUGGGGUCUGUACGAAUCCCUCCGGCUCCUUAUGGGGGUCCCUCUAAGCACCCCCACUGCCGCGCCCCACAGAUCGCCAGCUAUGGGGUGGACCCCCACUAUUCGUCCCUAUGUGUCUCUAUGGGGUCUCUACGAAUCCCUAUGGAUCCUUAUGGGGUCUCUAUGGGUCUCUAUGGGGUCUCUAUGGGCCCCUAUGGGUCCUUUUGGGGUCUCUAUGGCUCCUUAUGGGGUCUCUAUGGGGUCUCUAUGGGUCCCUAUGGGUCCCUAGGGGUCUCUAUGGGGUCCCUAUGGGUCCCUAUGGGUCCUUUUGGGGUCUCUGUGGGGUCCCUAUGGAUCCCUAUGGGUCCUUUUGGGGUCUCUAUGGGUCUCUAUGGGGCCUCUAUGGGGUCCCUAUGGGUCUCUAUGGGUCUCUAUGGGUCCUUAUGGGGUCCCUAUGGGGUCCUUAUGGAUCCCUAUGGGUCCUUUUGGGGUCUCUAUGGCUCCUUAUGGGGCCUCUAUGGGGUCUCUAUGGGGUCCCUAUGGGUCCCGAUGGGUCCCUAUGGGUCCUUUUGGGGUCUCUAUGGUUCCUUAUGGGGUCUCUAUGGGGUCUCUAUGGCUCUCUAUGGUUCCUAUUGGGGUCUCUGUGGGUCUCUAUGGGUCCCAAUGGAUCCCUAUGGGGUCUCUAUGGGGUCCCUAUGCGUCCCUAUGGGGUCCCUAUGGGUCCCUAUGGGUCCUUUUGGGGUCUCUGUGGGUCCCUAUGGGUCCCUAUGGGUCCCUAUGGGUCUCUAUGGGUCCCUAUGGCUCCUUAUGGGGCCUCUAUGGGGUCUCUAUGGGGUCCCUAUGGUUCUCUAUGGGUCCCUAUGGGUCUCUAUGGGUCCCUAUGGGUCCUUUUGGGGUCUCUAUGGGUCUCUAUGGGUCCUUAUGGGGUCCCUAUGGGGUCUCUAUGGGUCUCUAUGGGUUUCUAUGCGUCCCUAUGGCUCCUUAUGGGGUCUCUAUGGGGUCUCUAUGGGUCCCUAUGGGGCGCUAUGGGGCGCUAUGGGUCCCUAUGUGGCACUAUGGGGUCUCUAUGCGUCCCUAUGGGUCUCUAUGGGUUGCUAUGGGUCUCUAUGGGUCCCUAUGGGGCGCUAUGGGUCCCUAUGGGGCACUGUGGGUCCCUAUGGGUCCCUAUGGGGGGCUAUGGGUUGCUAUGGGGCGCUAUGGGGCGCUAUGGGGUCACUAUGGGUUUCUAUGGUUCCCUAUGGGUCCCUAUGGGGCGCUUUGGGGUGCUAUGGGGCACUGUGGGGUCUCUAUGUGUCCCUAUGGGUUUCUAUGGGUCUCUAUGGGUCCCUAUGGGGCGCUAUGGGGCGAUAUGGGUCCCUAUGGGGCACUGUGGGUCACUAUGGGUCCCUAUGGGGCGCUAUGGGGCGCUAUGGGGUUUCUAUGGUUCCCUAUGGGUCCCUAUUAGUCUCUAUGGGUUUCUAUGGGCCUCUAUGGGUCCCUAUGGGGCACUAUGGGGUCUCUAUGGGUCCCUUUGGGGCGCUAUGGGGUGCUAUGGGUCUCUAUGGGUCCCUAUGGGGCGCUAUAGGUCCCUAUGGGGCACUGUGGGUCCCUAUGGGNNNNNNNNNNNNNNUGCUAUGGGGUGCUAUGGGGCGCUAUGGGGCGCUAUGGGGCACUAUGGGGUCUCUAUGAGUCCCUAUGGGUCUCUAUGGGUUUCUAUGGGUCUCUAUGUGUCCCUAUGGGGUGCUAUGGGUCUCUAUGGGUCUCUAUGGGUCUCUAUGGGUUUCUAUGGGUCUCUAUGUGUCCCCAUGGGGCGCUAUGGGGCGCUAUGGGGCACUGUGGGUCCUUAUGGGGCGCUAUGGGGCGCUAUGGGUCUCUAUGGGGCGCUAUGGGGCGCUAUGGGUCCCCAUGGGGCACUGUGGGUCACUAUGGGUCCCUAUGGGGCACUAUGGGUCCCUAUGGCGCGCUAUGGGGCACUAUGGGGUCUCUAUGCGUCCCUAUGGGGCGCUAUGGGUUUCUAUGUGUCCCUAUGGGUCCCUAUGGGUCCCUAUGGGUCCCUAUGAGUCUCUAUGGGUCUCUAUGUGUCCCCAUGUGUCUCUAUGGGUCUCUAUGGUUUCUAUGUGUCCCCAUGUGUCCCUAUGUGUCCCUAUGUGUCCCUGUGGGUCCCUAUGGGUCCCUAUGGGUCUCUAUGUGUCCCUAUGUGUCCCUAUGCAUCCCUAUGUGUCCCCAUGUGUCCCCAUGUGUCCCUAUGGUCUCUAUGUGUCCCCAUGUGUCCCCAUGUGUCCCUAUGGUCCCUAUGUGUCCCUAUGGGUCUCUGUGGGUCCCUAUGGGUCUCUAUGGGUCUCUAUGGGUCCCUUUGGUCCCCAUGUGUCCCUAUGUGUCCCUAUGGGUCCCCAUGUGUCCCUAUUGGUCUCUAUGGGUCUCUAUGUGUCCCUAUGGGUCUCUAUGGGUCUCU
Long non-coding RNA from Phasianus colchicus (ring-necked pheasant), 2877 nucleotides. NCBI's taxonomy places the organism in Eukaryota, Metazoa, Chordata, Aves, Galliformes, Phasianidae. The record is from Ensembl.